RNAcentral lists this ribosomal RNA (422 nucleotides) under Lactococcus lactis. RNAcentral describes it as "bacterial SSU rRNA". It matches the Rfam family "Bacterial small subunit ribosomal RNA", at positions 28 to 425 of the family's 1533-position model. Lineage: Bacteria; Bacillati; Bacillota; Bacilli; Lactobacillales; Streptococcaceae. The record is from RNAcentral.
GACGAACGCUAGCGGCGUGCCUAAUACAUGCAAGUUGAGCGCUGAAGGUUGGUACUUGUACCAACUGGAUGAGCAGCGAACGGGUGAGUAACGCGUGGGGAAUCUGCCUUUGAGCGGGGGACAACAUUUGGAAACGAAUGCUAAUACCGCAUAAAAACUUUAAACACAAGUUUUAAGUUUGAAAGAUGCAAUUGCAUCACUCAAAGAUGAUCCCGCGUUGUAUUAGCUAGUUGGUGAGGUAAAGGCUCACCAAGGCGAUGAUACAUAGCCGACCUGAGAGGGUGAUCGGCCACAUUGGGACUGAGACACGGCCCCAAACUUCCUACGGGAGGGCAGCAGUAGGGAAUUCUUCGGGCAAAUGGGACGAAAAGUUCUGGACCGGAGGCAAACGCCCGCCGUGGAAGUGAAAGAAAGGUUUUUCG